AAAUUUUUACUUGUCUGGAUUUAAUUUUUGUCGUAACAUUGGGAAGUUCCGAGUUUUAGUAUGGUAUUACACAUGUAUGCGUAUGUCGUUUGUCUUGACUUCUUUUGUUAGGUAAUUUCAAAGUAGUUCAAUAGGUAAGUUAUUGAUGUUGAGGUAGUUUUGGAUUUUAUGAGGAGUAUGUAACAUGAGGGAUUUGCACCUCCAGUCUCUCAUCCAAGGCUUUCAGUAUACAAGUCGAAAGAAAUAGGUAGGAUUUGAAGUGCUUCAAAAUUUCCUCAGCGAGAUGAUGGUCAUAAAUGAUUUCUUCGAAUAUCAUCACUAUUUGGAUGAUGGAUGUUGGAUUGUUUGCUUAAAUUGUUGGAUAAUCCUAACUGGACUAAAGUUAUCCUGGCGGACCUCAUGCCUCGAGACAUCUCUGAAAACUCAUGUAUUACUUUAUAUUGAGAGUUUUGUAGACCAUCAAUCCUUGGGGUUAGGUA
Long non-coding RNA from Salvia miltiorrhiza (redroot sage), 479 nucleotides. RefSeq lists it as uncharacterized. The transcript has 3 exons. The record is from RefSeq and is a predicted model, not a curated record. Lineage: Eukaryota; Viridiplantae; Streptophyta; Magnoliopsida; Lamiales; Lamiaceae.